Oncorhynchus tshawytscha (Chinook salmon) is the source of this 411-nucleotide long non-coding RNA. Lineage: Eukaryota; Metazoa; Chordata; Actinopteri; Salmoniformes; Salmonidae. The record is from Ensembl.
GUAUCUGUGUCAAGGAGGUAGGUGUAUCUGUGUCAAGGAGGUAGGUGUAUCUGUGUCAAGGAGGUAGGUGUAUCUGUGUCAAGGAGGUAGGUGUAUCUGUGUCGAGGAGGUAGGUGUAUCUGUCAAGGAGGUAGGUGUAUCUGUCAAGGAGGUAGGUGUAUCUGUCAAGGAGGUAGGUGUAUCUGUGUCAAGGAGGUAGGUGUAUCUGUGUCAAGGAGGUAGGUGUAUCUGUCAAUGAGGUAGGUGUAUCUGUCAAGGAGGUAGGUGUAUCUGUGUCAAGGAGGUAGGUGUAUCUGUGUCGAGGAGGUAGGUGUACCUGUGUCAAGGAGGUAGGUGUAUCUGUGUCAAAGUCAACAGUCAAGAGAAGACUUCACCAGAGUAAAUACAGAGCGUUUACCACAAGAUGCAAAC